This is a long non-coding RNA of Brienomyrus brachyistius, 1685 nucleotides long. RefSeq lists it as uncharacterized. Lineage: Eukaryota; Metazoa; Chordata; Actinopteri; Osteoglossiformes; Mormyridae. The transcript is spliced from 3 exons. The record is from RefSeq and is a predicted model, not a curated record.
CAGAUUGGGCUGUUUAUCUAGCAUGUGCAGUCUUGUCCCUGCCUGAUAUGGAGCUCUCACAGUACGUUGGGAGAUGUCUGUUCUUCUUCAUUCUGGCAUUAAUUUUUGAUAUUGGUGGUCUGGUCAUCUUUUUCCUGGGGAUUUUUGCUUCGUUCACUUUCAGCAAUUUCUUUGUUUUGACUGGACCUAUAAUAAUAUUCCUCAGCCUGAUUUUCUGGAUAUUUUGGUAUCUAGGAAACAUAACUGUUUCUGACGAUGAGUUGCUUUUACCAGAAUAGGACAGACUGAGAAACGCAGGAGAGGGGACCCAUGUUCCCUGAUGCUUCAGAGAGUGGGAUGCAGAUCACCCUGAGCCAAACUGGAGAAAUGGCUAUGAUAGAUGGUAAAUAGAUAUCUAUAGGAAUGAACAGAUGGACAAUCUAAUCACAAAGCAGGAGCAAUUCAGUGUUCCUCUUCGGAAAAACUGUUAGUAGCAUUUUAAUUAUUUGGGAAAAUAAUAACAGACAACAGAUGGCAACUCAUCAAGACAUUGACCUUCACCAAGGGACAUUAAGCUAGCUUGAUGAAAUGGGAUGCACACUCUUCACGCAUACUGGAUGAAGUUCCACAAGUACACAGAAUUUGCCUCUCAGUGUCAUUCAAGCACCCGGCACCAACACCGCUGAGAGGUGGCAGACAUGAAGGGCACCACGUCGCUUGUAAUUAUUAUUCUGAAAGAGUACAAGUCUGGCAUCAGAUCAUCUGGCAUUCUCCGCACUGCCAUUAUCCUCUCUCUCCCUCUGUCCUGCUUCAACAAGCAAAAGUUGCCUGCCAAGUAAAAGCAGUCUGGUGGGGAAAAAAGUGCAUAUUGUUCACCACACAGCUAUAAUGUUCAGAGUUCUGUGUAAUAUAUCAAACACAAACAGAAAGGCAGGCUUCCAGGAAUGAAUUAGGCAUAUGGGGCUUGUGGAUGUAUGGCCUUAAUUUGGUUCAGUGACAGUCUGAUAUUGUCUUGCCCAUUAUAAAGUCUAACAAUUCACUUGUAAGCAAUCUCAAAAGGGAAUCACCUUAAAUGGGAAACAAGUUAUGUAAAAUCCAUAUACAGGAAAUGUACAAAUAUUGGUUGACUGCGUGCAUAAUGUUGUAAUUCUAGAAAAGGAAACAAAGACUAAAUUGGUCUAUCUGGUCUACAUAUAUUUUUACCUUAAAAUCUUACGUUUUAAAAAGUAAAAAAAAAAAAAAUACAGUUUGCCUCGGGGGCCCUACACAAGUGGAGCACCGAAACAGUGAUAACUGCGCAAUCAAGAUUCUGUCGCAAAAAGGACGUCGAUUCUGCCGAUUAUAUUUGAAGUGUACAACCAGGAGGCAGACAAUUUACGCCAUCUACUGUUGUAUGUGCAUAAUGACAUUUAAAUUCUACUUCUCGAAUAUAAGACAACCCGUGUUUUUAAAUGCAGGUUUUUGAGAGAAAGAAAAACAAACUUAUAUUCGGGACAAUACGGUAUUUAAGAAUAUUUCUGUGGUGUCAGCUGAGUAUUAAGGUGGAUGAAGGGACCGGAAUGAAGCUUCUCUCUCCUGCCUAAUGGUGAAAAAGUUGCUGUCUUAAAAACAUGACCAUGUUCAAUAUUUAUCCAACCUCCUAUGUAAAAAUAAGAUUAUGUCUAUACUAAAGCUUGUAAAUAAAAUGAAAUAAUGAAUGCAAAAAG